This 440-nucleotide ribosomal RNA is filed under the name uncultured bacterium. Its description in RNAcentral is "partial 16S ribosomal RNA". It matches the Rfam family "Bacterial small subunit ribosomal RNA", at positions 338 to 795 of the family's 1533-position model. The record is from RNAcentral.
CCUACGGGUGGCAGCAGUGGGGAAUAUUGCACAAUGGGGGAAACCCUGAUGCAGCGACGCCGCGUGAGUGAAGAAGUAUUUCGGUAUGUAAAGCUCUAUCAGCAGGGAAGAAAAUGACGGUACCUGAUGAAGAAGACCCGGCUAACUACGUGCCAGCAGCCGCGGUAAUAAGUCGGGGGCAGGCGUUGUCCGGAUUUACUGGGAGUAAAGGGAGCGGAGACGGGAGUACAAGUCUGGAGUGAAAUGCCGGGGCUUAACCCCGGCACUGCUUUGGAAACUGUGCAGCUAGAGUGCAGGAGAGGUAAGUGGAAUUCCUAGUGUAGCGGUGAAAUGCGUAGAUAUUAGGAGGAACACCAGUGGCGAAGGCGGCUUACUGGACUGUAACUGACGUUGAGGCGCGAAAGCGUGGGGAGCAAACAGGAUUAGAUACCCGAGUAGUC